RNAcentral lists this small nuclear RNA (160 nucleotides) under Triticum urartu. Its description in RNAcentral is "U1 spliceosomal RNA". It matches the Rfam family "U1 spliceosomal RNA". Rfam says of the family: U1 is a small nuclear RNA (snRNA) component of the spliceosome (involved in pre-mRNA splicing). Its 5' end forms complementary base pairs with the 5' splice junction, thus defining the 5' donor site of an intron. There are significant differences in sequence and secondary structure between metazoan and yeast U1 snRNAs, the latter being much longer (568 nucleotides as compared to 164 nucleotides in human). Lineage: Eukaryota; Viridiplantae; Streptophyta; Magnoliopsida; Poales; Poaceae. The record is from Rfam by way of RNAcentral.
AUACUUACCUGGACGGGGUCGACGGCUGAUCAAGAAGAGUCGUGGCCUAGGCUAGUGGUCCACAUUGCACCUGGUGGAUGCGCUGGCCUACCAUCUCCCCAAGUGGGAGAGUGGACGUCGUAAUUUGUGAUAGAGGGGGUACGCGUUCGCGCGGCCCUUG